GUGAUGAGGCUUGUGUGUGCACUGAUUGCAGCUAUAUUCCGGGCACACCUGGUCUUCCUGGUUCUCCUGGGCCACGUGGCCAGGAUGGCAUCCCUGGUAAAUUAUCUCAGUGUUCCUAAUAGGAUAGUAGAAAAUGGCAAUAUUUUACUUUUAGCACAAGAAUCAGGACUGGUAUGAGCAUGUCAGCAGCAUGCAAUAUUCUGGGUCCCUGAAAUAGCUCUGAAGUUGUGAUAAGUAUGCAUAAUACAGCUCCAUUUGCUGAUGUGAGCCUGUGUCCUAAAAGCAUUUAUGCCUGUGCACUGAGCUUAGGUGCAGCUUGAAGCCAGGUUAAUCUGUGCUCAUGUAAUCAGUGUGAAUGGCAGUAACAUUCAGUGCUGAGUGUAAUUAUCAGAGCUGUCAAAAUCUAUUUUCUUAUUUUCUUUUUCCUCUGCAAAAUAUGCUGUUUCUUUUGCAGGUAGAGAUGGAGCACCAGGUCCCAAAGGAGCUCCAGGUUCCCCAGGUGCACCAGGGCUUCCAGGAGCUCAAGGACCUCCAGGUUUUAAAGGAGAUCAAGGACGUAAGGGAUCAAAAGGUGAGCCAGGGUAUGUGUAUCCAGAAGGACCAAAAGGAGAGCAAGGAGAUCCAGGAACCAGGGGGGACAAAGGAAGAAAAGGGUCAAGUGGAAUUCUGGGAAGACCAGGCUCUAAGGGUCACAAAGGUUCUAAAGGUGAAGAGGGAUUGGCUGGUUCAAAAGGAGAUAGAGGGCAACCUGGAUUGCCUGGCAACCCUGGUCUUCCUGGAGAGAUGGGGCUUCCUGGACUGCCAGGAUAUGGACCACAAGGAAUAA
Molecule: long non-coding RNA, 826 nt
Filed under: Coturnix japonica (Japanese quail)
Lineage: Eukaryota; Metazoa; Chordata; Aves; Galliformes; Phasianidae
Description: lncRNA (ENSCJPG00005008101.1)
Source: RNAcentral